CCUCUUCAUUUUCUUCUGGUUCGU
RNAcentral lists this non-coding RNA (24 nucleotides) under Arabidopsis thaliana (thale cress). Lineage: Eukaryota; Viridiplantae; Streptophyta; Magnoliopsida; Brassicales; Brassicaceae. The record is from RNAcentral.